AUGGCAAUAAGGCCACAAGAGAUGAGGCAGAUCGCUGACGGCACCGGCAAGAGGCGGAGAAACCCUAGAGUGGGACUUGCUUAUGGAAGGGGCAACAGCAUGUACAAAACACUUGAGAGAUACCGCACCUGCAACUGCAACUCACAAGAAGCAACCCCUCUAGCAGAAAAUGAAAUAAAUUACCAGCAAUAUCUGAAGCUGAAGACCAGACUUGAAUAUCUUGAAAGUUCACAAAGAAAUAUUCUCGGUGAGGAUCUGGGCCCACUUAGCAUGAAGGAACUUGAGCAAAUUGAGAACCAAAUAGACAUAUCCCUCAAGCAUAUCAGGACAAGAAAGAAUAAAGUAUUACUUGAUGAGCUAUAUGACCUGAAAAGUAAGGAGCAAGAAUUGCAGGAUCAAAACAAAGACCUGAGGAAGAAGUUGCAAGACACCAGCUGUGCCGAGAAUGCGCUCCAUAUGGCCUGGCAAGAUAGAGGACAGAGUAGCUCAAGUGGGCAUGCCAUUGAUACUACUUAUCCAGGACUUGUGCAACACCCGGAACAUGAUUCCUCCAUGCAAGUUGGAUACAAUAAUCAGGUCUACGUGGACCAGCCGAACAACAACGAAGACAUGGCUUCUCAGCGCCUUCAUGGACUUGGAACAUCUGCAGGUUGGAUAUGA
Molecule: ribosomal RNA, 660 nt
Filed under: Triticum aestivum (bread wheat)
Lineage: Eukaryota; Viridiplantae; Streptophyta; Magnoliopsida; Poales; Poaceae
Description: partial small subunit ribosomal RNA
Source: RNAcentral